This 540-nucleotide ribosomal RNA is filed under the name uncultured archaeon. Its description in RNAcentral is "bacterial SSU rRNA". It matches the Rfam family "Archaeal small subunit ribosomal RNA", at positions 325 to 864 of the family's 1478-position model. The record is from RNAcentral.
AUGGGGUGCACCAGGCGCGAAACCUUUACACUGCACGAGAGUGCGAUAGGGGGACUCCAAGUGCGAGGGCAUACAGUCCUCGCUUUUGUACACCGUAAGGUGGUGUACGAAUAAGUGCUGGGCAAGACCGGUGCCAGCCGCCGCGGUAAUACCGGCAGCUCGAGUGAUGUCCAAUAUUAUUGGGCCUAAAGCGUCCGUAGCUGGCCACCCAAGUUCGUCGGGAAAUCCACCUGCCCAACAGGUGGGCGUCCGGCGAAAACUGUGUGGCUUGGAACCGGAAGGCUCAGAGGGUACGUCCGGGGUAGGAGUGAAAUCCCGUAAUCCCGGACGGACCACCGAUGGCGAAAGCACUCUGAGAGGACGGAUUCGACAGUGAGGGACGAAAGCUAGGGUCACGAACCGGAUUAGAUACCCGGGUAGUCCUAGCUGUAAACGAUGCUCGCUAGGUGUGGCACAGGCUACGAGCCUGUGCUGUGCCGUAGGGAAGCCGAGAAGCGAGCCGCCUGGGAAGUACGUCCGCAAGGAUGAAACUUAAAGGAA